ACCUACUUAAACUGAGUUUACAAAAUCGCAGAACUGUGAAUCGCAGAACAAGGAAAACACAAAAUCAGAACUGAGAACUCAUAACAAGAAAAACACAAUCGAUUGAAGAACAACACUUGCUAACCUGGUUUGCUUCGAAUUUUCUUGGAAAUCAUGAAUGAACGUGAGAAAGUAUGGUUUUGAAAAUCUUCGCAGAACACAAUCGAUCGAUUGGAGAAUUAUGGUUUUGGAAGAAGGGUUUUGGG
RNAcentral lists this long non-coding RNA (245 nucleotides) under Medicago truncatula (barrel medic). Its description in RNAcentral is "long non-coding RNA (MTRU_LNC005600)". The record is from RNAcentral. Lineage: Eukaryota; Viridiplantae; Streptophyta; Magnoliopsida; Fabales; Fabaceae.